GAAGUAGAAGCGGGUGAAGAGGCGGCACCUCUAUUUCCUACAGGAGGAAACAGAGGAGAGGAGGUGCUGUGCGUCGGGGAGAAGAAGGGGAGGAAGGAGAAGAAGAAAGGAAGGAGAAGGAAGAGGAGAAGGGAAAGAAGUAGCUGUGGCUGCGGCUAUGGCUGCGGCUAUGGCAGGGAAAGAAGAAGAGGUUGUAGUUGCGGUGGUGGCGACUGCGUCUGCGGUAGCUGUGUUUGGGAAAGAAAAAAGUAGGAACGAGAGAAGGGAGG
This 269-nucleotide long non-coding RNA is filed under the name Musa acuminata (dwarf banana). RNAcentral describes it as "long non-coding RNA (MACU_LNC011519)". The record is from RNAcentral. Lineage: Eukaryota; Viridiplantae; Streptophyta; Magnoliopsida; Zingiberales; Musaceae.